This 31-nucleotide small RNA is filed under the name Bombyx mori (domestic silkworm). RNAcentral describes it as "ovarian small RNA-5535". The record is from RNAcentral. Lineage: Eukaryota; Metazoa; Arthropoda; Insecta; Lepidoptera; Bombycidae.
UAAACAAAGGGUUCCUACAACUUUAGUAGGC